UGGCUCUCGCAUCGAUGAAGAACGCAGCGAAAUGCGAUACGUAAUGUGAAUUGCAGAAUCCAGUGAAUCAUCGAAUCUUUGAACGCAUCUUGCACUCUCUGGUAUUCCGGAGAGUAUGUCUGUUUGAGUGUCAUGAUCAUCUCAACCCACCAGUUCUCUGGAACUGUUCUGUGGUGUUUGGUUUUUGAGUGGUGCUGACAUCUGCGAUGUCCAGCUCAUUUGUAAAGCAUUCGUGUCAUCAUUGAGUUCUCACUCUUGGAUCGACCCAGUGUUGUAACGCAAUUCUUUCACUGGGGACACAUGGCAAAUGGUCCAUGUGGCCAAGACUUAUACGAACUUGUGUUGAUGCUUACAGCGUGAGCACUAGUCUUUCAGGAUAAGACCUCAAAUCAGGCAGGACUACCCGCUGA
Molecule: unclassified non-coding RNA, 410 nt
Filed under: uncultured fungus
Lineage: Eukaryota; Fungi
Description: partial contains 5.8S ribosomal RNA and internal transcribed spacer 2
Rfam family: 5.8S ribosomal RNA (bases 1-133)
Source: RNAcentral